RNAcentral lists this ribosomal RNA (390 nucleotides) under uncultured bacterium. RNAcentral describes it as "bacterial SSU rRNA". It matches the Rfam family "Bacterial small subunit ribosomal RNA", at positions 28 to 419 of the family's 1533-position model. The record is from RNAcentral.
GACGAACGCUGGCGGCGUGCUUAACACAUGCAAGUCGAGCGGUAAGGCCCUUUCGGGGGUACACGAGCGGCGAACGGGUGAGUAACACGUGGGUGACCUGCCUCUAGCUCUGGGAUAAGCCUGGGAAGCUGGGUCUAAUACCGGAUAUGACCUCGCGGUGCAUGUUGCGGGGUGGAAAGCCUUGUGCGGCUAGGGAUGGGCCCGCGGCCUAUCAGCUUGUUGGUGGGGGAUGGCCUACCAAGGCGACGACGGGUAGCCGGCCUGAGAGGGCGACCGGCCACACUGGGACUGAGACACGGCCCAGACUCCUACGGGAGGCAGCAGUGGGGAAUCUUGCGCAAUGGGACGAAAGCCUGACGCAGCGACGCCGCGUGAGGGAUGACGGCCUGG